UUAAGCGACCAAGCGUACACGGUGGAUGCCCUGGCAGUCAGAGGCGAUGAAGGACGUGCUAAUCUGCGAAAAGCGCCGGUAAGGUGAUAUGAACCGUUAUAACCGGCGAUGUCCGAAUGGGGAAACCCAGUGUGACUCGUCACACUAUCAUUAACUGAAUCCAUAGGUUAAUGAGGCGAACCGGGGGAACUGAAACAUCUAAGUACCCCGAGGAAAAGAAAUCAACCGAGAUUCCCCCCAGUAGCGGCGAGCGAACGGGGAGGAGCCCAGAGCCUGAAUCAGCAUGUGUGUUAGUGGAAGCGUCUGGAAAGGCGCGCGAUACAGGGUGAGAGCCCCGUACACAAAAGCGCAUAUGCUGUGAGCUCGAUGAGUAGGGCGGGACACGUGGUAUCCUGUCUGAAUAUGGGGGGACCAUCCUCCAAGGCUAAAUACUCCUGACUGACCGAUAGUGAACCAGUACCGUGAGGGAAAGGCGAAAAGAACCCCGGCGAGGGGAGUGAAACAGAACCUGAAACCGUGUACGUACAAGCAGUGGGAGCCUCUCUUUAUGGGGGGUGACUGCGUACCUUUUGUAUAAUGGGUCAGCGACUUAUAUUCUGUAGCAAGGUUAACCGCAUAGGGGAGCCGAAGGGAAACCGAGUCUUAACCGGGCGUUAAGUUGCAGGGUAUAGACCCGAAACCCGGUGAUCUAGCCAUGGGCAGGUUGAAGGUUGGGUAACACUAACUGGAGGACCGAACCGACUAAUGUUGAAAAAUUAGCGGAUGACCUGUGGCUGGGGGUGAAAGGCCAAUCAAACCGGGAGAUAGCUGGUUCUCCCCGAAAGCUAUUUAGGUAGCGCCUCGUGAAUUCAUCUCCGGGGGUAGAGCACUGUUUCGGCUAGGGGGCCAUCCCGGCUUACCAACCCGAUGCAAACUGCGAAUACCGGAGAAUGUUAUCACGGGAGACACACGGCGGGUGCUAACGUCCGUCGUGAAGAGGGAAACAACCCAGACCGCCAGCUAAGGUCCCAAAGUCAUGGUUAAGUGGGAAACGAUGUGGGAAGGCCCAGACAGCCAGGAUGUUGGCUUAGAAGCAGCCAUCAUUUAAAGAAAGCGUAAUAGCUCACUGGUCGAGUCGGCCUGCGCGGAAGAUGUAACGGGGCUAAACCAUGCACCGAAGCUGCGGCAGCGACACUUUAGUGUUGUUGGGUAGGGGAGCGUUCUGUAAGCCGUUGAAGGUGUGUCGUGAGGCAUGCUGGAGGUAUCAGAAGUGCGAAUGCUGACAUAAGUAACGAUAAAGCGGGUGAAAAGCCCGCUCGCCGGAAGACCAAGGGUUCCUGUCCAACGUUAAUCGGGGCAGGGUGAGUCGACCCCUAAGGCGAGGCCGAAAGGCGUAGUCGAUGGGAAACGGGUUAAUAUUCCCGUACUUGGUGUUACUGCGAAGGGGGGGACGGAGAAGGCUAUGUUGGCCGGGCGACGGUAGUCCCGGUUUAAGCGUGUAGGCUGGUUUUCCAGGCAAAUCCGGAAAAUCAAGGCUGAGGCGUGAUGACGAGGCACCACGGUGCUGAAGCAACAAAUGCCCUGCUUCCAGGAAAAGCCUCUAAGCAUCAGGUAACAUCAAAUCGUACCCCAAACCGACACAGGUGGUCAGGUAGAGAAUACCAAGGCGCUUGAGAGAACCCGGGUGAAGGAACUAGGCAAAAUGGUGCCGUAACUUCGGGAGAAGGCACGCUGACACGUAGGUGAAGUGAUUUACUCAUGGAGCUGAAGUCAGUCGAAGAUACCAGCUGGCUGCAACUGUUUAUUAAAAACACAGCACUGUGCAAACACGAAAGUGGACGUAUACGGUGUGACGCCUGCCCGGUGCCGGAAGGUUAAUUGAUGGGGUCAGCGCAAGCGAAGCUCCUGAUCGAAGCCCCGGUAAACGGCGGCCGUAACUAUAACGGUCCUAAGGUAGCGAAAUUCCUUGUCGGGUAAGUUCCGACCUGCACGAAUGGCGUAAUGAUGGCCAGGCUGUCUCCACCCGAGACUCAGUGAAAUUGAACUCGCUGUGAAGAUGCAGUGUACCCGCGGCAAGACGGAAAGACCCCGUGAACCUUUACUAUAGCUUGACACUGAACAUUGAGCCUUGAUGUGUAGGAUAGGUGGGAGGCUUUGAAGCGUGGACGCCAGUCUGCGUGGAGCCGACCUUGAAAUACCACCCUUUAAUGUUUGAUGUUCUAACGUGGACCCGUAAUCCGGGUUGCGGACAGUGUCUGGUGGGUAGUUUGACUGGGGCGGUCUCCUCCUAAAGAGUAACGGAGGAGCACGAAGGUUGGCUAAUCCUGGUCGGACAUCAGGAGGUUAGUGCAAUGGCAUAAGCCAGCUUGACUGCGAGCGUGACGGCGCGAGCAGGUGCGAAAGCAGGUCAUAGUGAUCCGGUGGUUCUGAAUGGAAGGGCCAUCGCUCAACGGAUAAAAGGUACUCCGGGGAUAACAGGCUGAUACCGCCCAAGAGUUCAUAUCGACGGCGGUGUUUGGCACCUCGAUGUCGGCUCAUCACAUCCUGGGGCUGAAGUAGGUCCCAAGGGUAUGGCUGUUCGCCAUUUAAAGUGGUACGCGAGCUGGGUUUAGAACGUCGUGAGACAGUUCGGUCCCUAUCUGCCGUGGGCGCUGGAAGACUGAGGGGGGGCUGCUCCUAGUACGAGAGGACCGGAGUGGACGCAUCACUGGUGUUCGGGUUGUCAUGCCAAUGGCACUGCCCGGUAGCUAAAUGCGGAAAAGAUAAGUGCUGAAAGCAUCUAAGCACGAAACUUGCCCCGAGAUGAGUCUUCCCUGAGACUUUGAGUCUCCUGAAGGAACGUUAAAGACGAUGACGUUGAUAGGCCGGGUGUGUAAGCGCAGCGAUGCGUUGAGCUAACCGGUACUAAUGAACCGUGAGGCUUAACCUU
RNAcentral lists this ribosomal RNA (2908 nucleotides) under Salmonella enterica subsp. diarizonae. Its description in RNAcentral is "23S ribosomal RNA". It matches the Rfam family "Bacterial large subunit ribosomal RNA". Lineage: Bacteria; Pseudomonadati; Pseudomonadota; Gammaproteobacteria; Enterobacterales; Enterobacteriaceae. The record is from RNAcentral.